CCUACGGGAGGCAGCAGUGGGGAAUAUUGGGCAAUGGGCGAAAGCCUGACCCAGCAACGCCGCGUGAAGGAAGAAGGCUUUCGGGUUGUAAACUUCUUUUGACAGGGAAGAGCAGAAGACGGUACCUGUCGAAUAAGCCACGGCUAACUACGUGCCAGCAGCCGCGGUAAUACGUAGGUGGCAAGCGUUGUCCGGAUUUACUGGGUGUAAAGGGGGCGCAGACGGCGAUGCAAGCCAGGAGUGAAAGCCAGGGGCCCAACCCCGGGACUGCCCUUGGAACUGCGUGGCUGGAGUGCAGGUGGGGCAGGCGGAAUUCCUGGUGUAGCGGUGAAAUGCGUAGAUAUCAGGAGGAACACCGGUGGCGAAGGCGGCCUGCUGGACUGCAACUGACGUUGAGGCCCGAAAGCGUGGGGAGCAAACAGGAUUAGAUACCCCUGUAGUC
Molecule: ribosomal RNA, 442 nt
Filed under: uncultured bacterium
Lineage: Bacteria
Description: partial 16S ribosomal RNA
Rfam family: Bacterial small subunit ribosomal RNA
Source: RNAcentral